RNAcentral lists this ribosomal RNA (907 nucleotides) under Acrotoma reshaviensis. Its description in RNAcentral is "partial 16S ribosomal RNA". The stretch from base 399 to 553 matches the Rfam family "Archaeal large subunit ribosomal RNA", at positions 1887 to 2086 of the family's 2987-position model. Lineage: Eukaryota; Metazoa; Mollusca; Gastropoda; Stylommatophora; Clausiliidae. The record is from RNAcentral.
UUCAACUAUAAUACUUUAAGUAUUUUAGUUUCCCGAAAUAGGUAGAGCUAAUUAUUGUAAGACAUUAGUAUAUAUUACCAUAAUGUAGCAUAAUUAUUAGUAUAACAAUAAUUAGGGGUGAAAGGCUUAUCAAUACCUACAGUUAUCUGGAUGAACCCCAAAAAUAUUUAGUAUUAAGAAAACAAAUAUAAAAUUUUAAGGUUUUAUAUGAAGAAAAUAGUGUCUGUCCAGAAAAAUUUAAUAAAUUAAUAUUUAAUUUCCUUACAAUAAAAUUGAAUUAAAUUACUACCAAAUUUUGUGAUUUAAGGUUCUAUUUAUUUCUAAAUUCAUAGAGGAAUUAAUAUUGUUUAAAUAAGUAAUAUAAAGAAAUAUAUAAAAGUAACUCGGCAAAUAUAAAUCUUAACUGUUUAUCAAAAACAUAGCUAGUUGAAUUUUUAUAAUUAGUUAUUUCUGCCCGGUGAACAUGUUUUAACGGCCGCAGUACACUGACUGUGCAAAGGUAGCAUAAUAAUUUGACUUUUAAUUGAAGUCUAGAAUGAAAGGAGAUAUGGGGUGAUGCUGUCUCUUAUUUAUUUAUAUUAAUUUACUUGAGAAAGUGAAAAGACUUUCAAUCCGCUAAAAGACGAGAAGACCCUAUGAAUUUUCAAUUAACAAAAGCACAUUAAUGCUCUUAAAUUUUUGUUGGGGCAACAAAAUAACAAAAACGUUAAUUUCGUCUCUGAAUUCAUUUUAAUAUUGAGUGAAUAGUUAAGCUAUAUACAUUAUAUAUCGAAUGUUAUUAAUAAAAAUUAAAUUACUGUAGGGAUAACAGCAUAAUUAUAUAAGUUAGAUUAUGACCUCGAUGUUGGACUAGGAAACAAUUGGAGUAGCACUUUAAUUGGACUGUUCUGUUCGAACAAUGUUUCCU